This 77-nucleotide transfer RNA is filed under the name Akkermansia muciniphila. RNAcentral describes it as "tRNA-Met". It matches the Rfam family "tRNA". From Rfam's summary of the family: Transfer RNA (tRNA) molecules are approximately 80 nucleotides in length. The record is from RNAcentral. RNAcentral also lists the same sequence under 4 other names. Lineage: Bacteria; Pseudomonadati; Verrucomicrobiota; Verrucomicrobiia; Verrucomicrobiales; Akkermansiaceae.
CGCGGGAUGGAGCAGCCAGGUAGCUCGUCAGGCUCAUAACCUGAAGGUCACAGGUUCAAAUCCUGUUCCCGUAACCA